GGGCAGGCCAGACAUCUCCUGCCUAGCCCACGACUGGGAAACCCCCAUGGCCCAAGGUACACGCCAGGACUGGCCUGACUUGCCCUGCGCUCGCUUCCCGGAGGAGUUGCCGGACCUGCCCUGCAACCGCUACCCAGAGGAGUUGCUGGGCCUGCCACUUGCCCACUACCCCGAGGAACCCAUGGUGCUGGACCCCCAGAGGACAUCACCCUGAUCCAGAAGCCUCUAGGAUUGGGAUCAGCACUGGUCCUGCCGCAAAGAGAACACAAAAUGAAAUCAGUUGGUACAGUAUAUAGGACAAAAGUUUAUGAAGAAGAUAUUUGGUUUUGAGUACAAAUAUAAAAAUCAGUUGAGGAUUUCAGAAACCUGUUUUUUUUUUUGCUAAUGGUGGAUGGUGAUCAAAACAAAUUAAAUCAAAAGUUUGGAAAAGAAGAUAACGAAUUCAGUCAGACCUAUAAUAAUAUUGCACGAUGCAGCAAUACAAGACCAUUUUAAAUUACUUGUUUAGAUAUUUUAAUCAGAUUAUUACCUUGUUUAUGCCAAGUAUUGUAUUUUAGUUUUUAGAAAUCUUUCAUAAAUGCGGACAUUUGCAGAAGCUAAUGAUUUAUAGUAAGGUAUUUAUCAC
Mauremys reevesii (Reeves's turtle) is the source of this 625-nucleotide long non-coding RNA. RefSeq lists it as uncharacterized. The transcript is spliced from 3 exons. Lineage: Eukaryota; Metazoa; Chordata; Testudines; Geoemydidae. The record is from RefSeq and is a predicted model, not a curated record.